Molecule: non-coding RNA, 21 nt
Filed under: Caenorhabditis elegans
Lineage: Eukaryota; Metazoa; Nematoda; Chromadorea; Rhabditida; Rhabditidae
Source: RNAcentral
UUCAUUUGACGUUUAUGAAAA